Molecule: long non-coding RNA, 602 nt
Filed under: Capsella rubella
Lineage: Eukaryota; Viridiplantae; Streptophyta; Magnoliopsida; Brassicales; Brassicaceae
Description: long non-coding RNA (CRUB_LNC002544)
Source: RNAcentral
CGUCUCCCAAAUGAACUUAUAAGUGUUUUUCUCCCCAUCAUGAAAGUUUUUCCUGUCAUACUCCCAAGGUUUUCCCAAAAUUAAGUGGCUCACAUCCAUUGGUGUGAUGUCAAAAUAAAGUGAUCCUUGUAUUACUGUCCAACAGAAAAUGACACUAAUUUUCUAUGAGUGAUACGAAGAUCCACACCAUCAUACAACUAAGUGAGUGAAUAAGGACACAAAUGCUCUUCUACUGGUAUAUCUAGCUUUCAGACACAUUGCGACUACUGCCCGAAUCAAUGAUGAAUGUGCAUAUCCGGCCCUUGAUCGUACAUAUCUUGGUUCGUCGCAAGGUUAAUACUUGAGAGCGAUACGAGUAGAACGUUUCACCCCAUUCUCACCUUCGCGAAAACCCAGAUGUGGCUUUGUUUUGACGUUGUCUUUGUUGUCCCGUGGAGUAGAAGCAUGUGACGAGCUACUUUGAUUAAAACAUCGCCGAGAUGAGGAAUUCCAAGGAGGAGCACGAAACUGUUGUUCAAAUGAGAAGGCACGCCGAUGAGCUUCAACAAUUGUGGUUGGAUCAUAUUGAGCCAGAGAGCUCUGAAUUCGCGGUCGCAUGAAUG